GACGAACCGUGCGAACGUUAUUCGGAAUCACUGGGCUUAAAGCGCGUGUAGGCGGGACGGCACGUCGGUCGCUGAAAUCCCCCGGCUUAACCGGGGAACUGGCGUCGAUACGACCGCCCUGGAGGGGCGUAGGGGGACCUGGAACUUCCGGUGGAGCGGUGAAAUGCGUUGAGAUCGGAAGGAACACCAAUGGCGAAGGCAGCUCGCUGGGACGUGACUGACGCUGAGACGCGAAAGCGUGGGGAGCAAACAGG
This 254-nucleotide ribosomal RNA is filed under the name uncultured bacterium. RNAcentral's name for it is "partial 16S ribosomal RNA". It matches the Rfam family "Bacterial small subunit ribosomal RNA", at positions 524 to 776 of the family's 1533-position model. The record is from RNAcentral.